RNAcentral lists this ribosomal RNA (588 nucleotides) under uncultured bacterium. RNAcentral describes it as "partial 16S ribosomal RNA". It matches the Rfam family "Bacterial small subunit ribosomal RNA", at positions 355 to 1375 of the family's 1533-position model. The record is from RNAcentral.
UGGGGAAUUUUGGACAAUGGGCGAAAGCCUGAUCCAGCAAUGCCGCGUGUGUGAAGAAGGCCUUCGGGUUGUAAAGCACUUUUGUCCGGAAAGAAAUCCUUGGCUCUAAUACAGUCGGGGGAUGACGGUACCGGAAGAAUAAGCACCGGCUAACUACGUGCCAGCAGCCGCGGUAAUACGUAGGGUGCAAGCGUUAAUCGGAAUUACUGGGCGUAAAGCGUGCGCAGGCGGUUUGCUAAGACCGAUGUGAAAUCCCCGGGCUCAACCUGGGAACUGCAUUGGUGACUGGCAGGCUAGAGUAUGGCAGAGGGGGGUAGAAUUCCACGUGUAGCAGUGAAAUGCGUAGAGAUGUGGAGGAAUACCGAUGGCGAAGGCAGCCCCCUGGGCCAAUACUGACGCUCAUGCACGAAAAGCGUGGGGAGCAAAACAGGAUUAGAUACCCUGGUAGUCCACGCCCUAAACGAUGUCAACUAGUUGUUGGGGAUUCAUUUCCUUAGUAACGUAGCUAACGCGUGAAGUUGACCGCCUGGGGAGUACGGUCGCAAGAUUAAAAACUCAAAGGAAUUGACGGGGUCAUAGCUGUUUCCU